This 607-nucleotide ribosomal RNA is filed under the name uncultured bacterium. Its description in RNAcentral is "bacterial SSU rRNA". The stretch from base 1 to 537 matches the Rfam family "Bacterial small subunit ribosomal RNA", at positions 338 to 873 of the family's 1533-position model. The record is from RNAcentral.
CCUACGGGAGGCAGCAGUGGGGAAUUUUGGACAAUGGACGCAAGUCUGAUCCAGCCAUGCCGCGUGCGGGAAGAAGGCCUUCGGGUUGUAAACCGCUUUUGUCAGGGAAGAAACGAGUUUCUCUAAUACAGAGACUUAAUGACGGUACCUGAAGAAUAAGCACCGGCUAACUACGUGCCAGCAGCCGCGGUAAUACGUAGGGUGCAAGCGUUAAUCGGAAUUACUGGGCGUAAAGCGUGCGCAGGCGGUUAUGCAAGACAGAUGUGAAAUCCCCGGGCUCAACCUGGGAACUGCAUUUGUGACUGCAUGGCUAGAGUACGGUAGAGGGGGAUGGAAUUCCGCGUGUAGCAGUGAAAUGCGUAGAUAUGCGGAGGAACACCGAUGGCGAAGGCAAUCCCCUGGACCUGUACUGACGCUCAUGCACGAAAGCGUGGGGAGCAAACAGGAUUAGAUACCCUGGUAGUCCACGCCCUAAACGAUGUCAACUGGUUNUUGGGAGGUUUCUNUCAGUACGAAGCUAACGCGNGAGUAGACGCGNGGNGUAAGGUCGCGAGUUAGUAGUUAGAAGAAGAGNGNGNGAGAGNGCGAGACGACGACGAGGAGGAGG